GGGAACCUGCGGAAGGAUCAUUACCGAGUGUAGGGUUCCUAGCGAGCCCAACCUCCCACCCGUGUUUACUGUACACUUAGUUGCUUCGGCGGGCCCGCCAUUCAUGGCCGCCGGGGGCUCUCAGCCCCGGGCCCGCGCCCGCCGGAGACACCACGAACUCUGUCUGAUCUAGUGAAGUCUGAGUUGAUUGUAUCGCAAUCAGUUAAAACUUUCAACAAUGGAUCUCUUGGUUCCGGCAUCGAUGAAGAACGCAGCGAAAUGCGAUAACUAGUGUGAAUUGCAGAAUUCCGUGAAUCAUCGAGUCUUUGAACGCACAUUGCGCCCCCUGGUAUUCCGGGGGGCAUGCCUGUCCGAGCGUCAUUGCUGCCCAUCAAGCACGGCUUGUGUGUUGGGUCGUCGUCCCCUCUCCGGGGGGGACGGGCCCCAAAGGCAGCGGCGGCACCGCGUCCGAUCCUCGAGCGUAUGGGGCUUUGUCACCCGCUCUGUAGGCCCGGCCGGCGCUUGCCGAACGCAAAUCAAUCUUUUUCCAGGUUGACCUCGGAUCAGGUAGGGAUACCCGCUGAACUUAAGCAUAUCAA
RNAcentral lists this ribosomal RNA (578 nucleotides) under Aspergillus flavus. RNAcentral's name for it is "eukaryotic LSU rRNA". The stretch from base 207 to 360 matches the Rfam family "5.8S ribosomal RNA". The record is from RNAcentral. Lineage: Eukaryota; Fungi; Ascomycota; Eurotiomycetes; Eurotiales; Aspergillaceae.